Molecule: ribosomal RNA, 414 nt
Filed under: uncultured bacterium
Lineage: Bacteria
Description: bacterial SSU rRNA
Rfam family: Bacterial small subunit ribosomal RNA
Source: RNAcentral
GGGCCCGCACAAGCGGUGGAGCAUGUGGUUUAAUUCGAUGAUACGCGAGGAACCUUACCAGGGCUUAAAUGUAGUGGGACAGGUCUAGAGAUAGACCCUUCUUCGGACUCAUUACAAGGUGCUGCAUGGUUGUCGUCAGCUCGUGCCGUGAGGUGUCAGGUUAAGUCCUAUAACGAGCGCAACCCCUAUCGUUAGUUGCCAGCGGGUAAUGCCGGGAACUCUAGCGAAACUGCCGGUUAUAAACCGGAGGAAGGUGGGGAUGACGUCAAGUCAGCAUGCCCCUUACACCCUGGGCUACACACGUACUACAAUGCUACGGACAAAGGGCAGCAAGUUCGCGAGGACAAGCAAAUCCCAUAAACCGUGGCUCAGUUCAGAUCGUAGGCUGCAACUCGCCUACGUGAAGGCGGAAUC